Molecule: transfer RNA, 67 nt
Filed under: Brunneifusus ternatanus
Lineage: Eukaryota; Metazoa; Mollusca; Gastropoda; Neogastropoda; Melongenidae
Description: tRNA-Thr
Rfam family: tRNA
About the family: Transfer RNA (tRNA) molecules are approximately 80 nucleotides in length. Their secondary structure includes four short double-helical elements and three loops (D, anti-codon, and T loops).
Source: RNAcentral
GCAAUAAUAGCUUAAAAUAGAGCAUUGGUUUUGUAAACCAAAGGUGAAAUAAAAUAUUCUUGUUGCU